This is a long non-coding RNA of Nycticebus coucang (slow loris), 461 nucleotides long. RefSeq lists it as uncharacterized. Lineage: Eukaryota; Metazoa; Chordata; Mammalia; Primates; Lorisidae. The transcript is spliced from 3 exons. The record is from RefSeq and is a predicted model, not a curated record.
UAGCCAAAAGGAGAAUAAGAAAACUGAGCGAAUCCUCAAAGAGAGUCGGGACCUGGCACGUUCAUCGAGAGGCUGCAGAGGAACGUCCAAGAAACGGUUGAAAAGGCAACAACUUUGAAUCAGACUUUGUAUGAAGAUUUCCAGCUGCCCAGCUUGAUGCUUGAGAAUAUGCAGCAGAACAUUUCAUCUUUGCUCAAAACCAUACAGAAAAGGCACUUCAUGCAGUUGCACCAAAAUGUCACCCUGGAACUCAAGGCUGCUCAAGACUUACUGUCAUAAAUUCAGAAAGCAUACCAGAAGCCACAGGAAGAGUUGGAAGUGUUGAAAGAAAUAGCAAGCCGGCUCCUGGCCGAGCACAGUGGACAGCUGCAGGCGGCCAGGACACUAGUGAAGGACGCAGAGGGAAAGAGCCAGGAAAGCGACCGUCUGCUGCUCGUGGCCAGCGCCAACCUGAGAGAGUU